This is a long non-coding RNA of Eucalyptus grandis, 304 nucleotides long. RefSeq lists it as uncharacterized. Lineage: Eukaryota; Viridiplantae; Streptophyta; Magnoliopsida; Myrtales; Myrtaceae. The record is from RefSeq and is a predicted model, not a curated record. The transcript has 3 exons.
UCCGCUGCCGCCCUCCGAUCGACGCGCCUCCGCCUCCGCCUCGCCGUCGCCGUCGCCACCCGUCGCCUCCGCCUCGCCGACGCCGAAACCCUUGCCGCCGCGUGUGGCCGACCAUCGUCGACAGCUUGGGGACUGGGUUCGCUCGGCGAUCAUGGCGCUCGUUUCUCGCCUCGUUUCCAAGUCCCGGCAGGUUAAAAGUUAAGCUGAAGCAGCUAGCUGAGCAGUAUGUGCUUUCUGAACAACAUCAUGAACAGGAGAAUUGCCAAAUACGACCACGGAGUCAAGCUCGAUGUUGUCUUCUCGA